This 264-nucleotide unclassified non-coding RNA is filed under the name Hevea brasiliensis (rubber tree). The record is from RNAcentral. Lineage: Eukaryota; Viridiplantae; Streptophyta; Magnoliopsida; Malpighiales; Euphorbiaceae.
AUCAACAGCAACCGGUGGCUUCGGAAUAUCAGCAGAAAGAGGUGGCUUUGGCACUUGUGUUUUAUCAAGAAAAGGGUGCUCGAAAUUGGGUUCAAAUGUCGUAGAUUGAUAGAAGAAGAGCCUAAAAGAAAGACCCAUCAAGAGAAUGGCAACUGCUAGCUUGAAUAGCCAAUAGUUGCCAUUCUCUUGUAACCUCCAAAUUAACUUCAUUUCCCUUCACUGCUGUGCUUUGCUCAAGCUCCCUCUGGAUUUCAAAGAUCUUUG